Molecule: microRNA precursor, 101 nt
Organism: Cyprinus carpio carpio
Lineage: Eukaryota; Metazoa; Chordata; Actinopteri; Cypriniformes; Cyprinidae
Source: Ensembl
UGUGUGUUUUCUGUACUUGUCUCACGUUGAGCCACACGCACAAUACCUGCAGAUGAAAAGGUUUUGUUCGUUCGGCUCGCGUUACGCAGAUGCAGACACGC